Molecule: ribosomal RNA, 253 nt
Filed under: uncultured bacterium
Lineage: Bacteria
Description: partial 16S ribosomal RNA
Rfam family: Bacterial small subunit ribosomal RNA
Source: RNAcentral
UACGUAGGGCGCAAGCGUUGUCCGGAAUUAUUGGGCGUAAAGAGCUCGUAGGCGGCUUGUCACGUCGGGUGUGAAAGCCCGGGGCUUAACCCCGGGUCUGCAUUCGAUACGGGCAGGCUAGAGUGUGGUAGGGGAGAUCGGAAUUCCUGGUGUAGCGGUGAAAUGCGCAGAUAUCAGGAGGAACACCGGUGGCGAAGGCGGAUCUCUGGGCCUUACCUGACGCUGAGGAGCGAAAGCGUGGGGAGCGAACAGG